GCCUCUUUAGCUCAGUGGCAGAGCACUGGUCUUGUAAACCAGGGGCCGUGAGUUCAAUUCUCACAAGAGGCA
Molecule: non-coding RNA, 72 nt
Organism: Drosophila pseudoobscura pseudoobscura
Lineage: Eukaryota; Metazoa; Arthropoda; Insecta; Diptera; Drosophilidae
Source: Rfam